GGAGAAGCGGAGCGCGCCCGUGCGAAGCACUGGGUGGCUCCAGCUCCGCCACUGCGCGCGCUCCAGCGCCCCAGAAGGCAGGGGGCAGCCCGGGGACCGGGGUCCCGGAGCCCCGUGGGAGGCGGGCAACACCUGUCGGGACCCGAGGGCGUGUCUGAGAUUGUGGCCUGAGGUGCUGCGCCUUCCGAUCCGGGGCAGCGGGCGUCCUGUAGCUGCGCCUUCCGAAUCCAGCCCAGAUUCUCCUACCAGCUGCUUGGGUCACGUCGGUGGAACUCCUAAAGGGAUGCCUUCAAAAUGUGUGAAUAAGCUUCAAUCAGACUGCCCUUCCCAAAGAAAAUAACUAUAAAUGCUGGAAAAACUACAAAACAGCCACCUGAAGGCACUGGCGAGAGACAAAAGCAAGCAAAUUCUGGAGAAGAGUCAACACUUGGAAGAAGGGAGCUGCACUGGGUACAUGGGGAAGGAACAGUGUCUCUGCAUGAGAAUGGCCAAAGAACAAGAUACAUUUCCCCGUGGAGAGCAAUCCUAGAGAGAGGGAAGCAUGGGUCAGAAUAAGGUGUACUGGCCCCAGGCAUAAACCAGGUAGCUGCUGUUUUGUGCCCUAAGUGUCUAUCCAUGGCAUACUCCUCAGAAAAUCAAGACAUCUCUUUUUUCUUCCCUGUUCCUUCCACUUCUUAAAUAUAAAUAAUUUAAACAAAUUAUCUGCCUCUCACUUCUUUAAAAAAGAAAAAAACUCUCCUGGCAGAAGAUUCUAAAUGACAAUAGGAGGUCAAAUUAGCAAGCCUGACUGCUCAAGCUCAAGGCAGAUGUGAGAGAAGCUUUGCUACUGCUUAUGACCUUCCUGCACAUUUACCCUUUUGGCAUGAGAAUCACAAACCAUGAGGAAACUUGCUUUUGAUCCUUAAGAUGGAAGCCAAGAAACCUUCUGCAAAAUGGUCUGGAAUUAUGUGUAAAACAUGUAAGAUUGAACAGCCAGCCUCAGCGACUCACAAGAAAUUAUCUCCUGGGCCAAGUUGGUGAUUUGAUAUCACCAUUUAUAUUCACUACAAGAACCAAAAAGGCCCGAUUUUCCAUGUUCAGUUCAACCUCUCCAGGAGGUAAGAGAAUAGAAGUUCAUUGUACUGGAGAGUAGAAAUGAUUUCACUGAGCUUUAAAAUGUUCCAUUUAAAAUUAUGAACAGUGUUUUAACAGAUGGGCCAUUCUACCUACUAUCUCAUGGGGCAGCACUCAUAAUGCUGAGGCCUUCUCUGUUUUUCGCUGACCUUGAAAAUGGAAUGUAAAACUGGGUUUCUGGAUAAAACAGAUGGGUGAGGUGCUAUUAUAAGGAAAGUAAUAAUUAAUAUAUUCUCUAUAUUGGGCCAGUAUGCAAGAAGGUAGAUAGGGAAUUGAGGCAGGAUGCACAUAUUAGGAAGGAAGGAAGGUUAAAAAGCAAUGCAGAAGGAAGUAGAAAAGCUAUUAUGUUCUAUUUGCUCAUAUAUAUAUAUAUAUAUAUCUCAAGGGCCCCACUUCAGAGGAUCUAUAAAGAAGUACAACCCUAAAGUAUGCUCCUACAAUAUGCUGUUUUUACGUACAUGACGGUGUUCAACUCUCUAUCUCCAACAUCUAGCAUGCUGCCUGCUGGAUCAGUUUAGUACCUGCCUGACUGUUUGAGCUAAUAGGUGGAAGCCUUCUUCAGUGUUCUCCAGCCAUGACUACUCUUCCUAACCUGGGUUUGAAAUUAAAGUGUAAUUUCACAAAUUAGUGCCAUAUGCCAUUGCUUGUGUUCUGUUAGAGCAGCAGUGUGGAACGUUCCCUCCCUCUGUCCAGGCUGCACGAUGGCCUCUUGCUGAUUCUCUCCCAGAAAUCUUCUUUAAUCUGAUGUAAAGCCUUGUCCUAAAAUACACUUAUCUUGCUUUUUCAUGAGCUUAAAAUUUUCCAUUACUAAAAUAGCAAAACGUAAUAUAAUACAACGAAACCACUGUUUUCAUUGUGGUGUUUCCUUCCAGUCAUUUUUUUUUCUACAAAUGCACUUACCCCUGACCCUGUUGAUAUUGUAAAUAUUUUAUUAUCCAUUAUGCUAUUACUCUGAUCUUUUUAGAUGAAGGCCCUAUUUGCGUCACUGUACCUUCUUCAUACUUUGAGCUAUUGGAGGUAGCAUGGGAGAAGCAGAGUGGACAAAGAUUUUGGAAUCAGACAUACAGAUUUAAAUUCUGGCUUUAUCAUGUACUAGACAUGUAAGCCAGGAAACAUACCUGACUUCCUCCUCACUCAGUUUUCCCAUCUAAAUGUGAUUAUAGUAACACAUAUUUCAUAUGAUUGUUUUGAAUAUCAACAUUAGGCAGUCUACGACGUGCACCAUCCAGUCAGCCACUUCAUGCAUAAUAACUAUCACCUCCAUUCCUCAACCCCAAAGAAUGGGUCCAAAUAGUUACUCUUAUUUGACGUAAUGCUACUGACAUGUAACAUAUAGAUGAAACCUCCUACUAGGAAAUAUUUAAUAGGUACUUAAACUUAGGAGUGAAUCAAUUGUUUCUUCAGAAGGAGUUCUGUGAAUUUGUACUUAAA
Homo sapiens (human) is the source of this 2544-nucleotide long non-coding RNA. Ensembl annotates it as DPP10 antisense RNA 1. Its record names the gene DPP10-AS1. The record is from Ensembl. Lineage: Eukaryota; Metazoa; Chordata; Mammalia; Primates; Hominidae.